CAGCCGUAAACUAUGCGCGUUAGGUGUAUCGGUGACCACGAGUUACCGAGGUGCCGAAGGGAAACCGUGAAACGUGCCGCCUGGGAAGUACGGUCGCAAGGCUGAAACUUAAAGGAAUUGGCGGGGGAGCACCACAACAGGUGGAGCCUGCGGUUUAAUUGGACUCAACGCCGGGAAGCUCACCGGAUAGGACAGCAGAAUGACUGCCGGGCUGAAGACCCUGCAUGACUAGCUGAGAGGAGGUGCAUGGCGUCAGUGACU
RNAcentral lists this ribosomal RNA (261 nucleotides) under uncultured archaeon. RNAcentral's name for it is "partial 16S ribosomal RNA". It matches the Rfam family "Archaeal small subunit ribosomal RNA", at positions 748 to 1008 of the family's 1478-position model. The record is from RNAcentral.